RNAcentral lists this ribosomal RNA (497 nucleotides) under uncultured bacterium. Its description in RNAcentral is "partial 16S ribosomal RNA". It matches the Rfam family "Bacterial small subunit ribosomal RNA", at positions 28 to 507 of the family's 1533-position model. The record is from RNAcentral.
GAUGAACGCUAGCGGCGUGCCUAAUACAUGCAAGUCGAGCGAACAGACGAGGAGCUUGCUCCUCUGACGUUAGCGGCGGACGGGUGAGUAACACGUGGAUAACCUACCUAUAAGACUGGGAUAACUUCGGGAAACCGGAGCUAAUACCGGAUAAUAUAUUGAACCGCAUGGUUCAAUAGUGAAAGACGGUUUUGCUGUCACUUAUAGAUGGAUCCGCGCCGCAUUAGCUAGUUGGUAAGGUAACGGCUUACCAAGGCAACGAUGCGUAGCCGACCUGAGAGGGUGAUCGGCCACACUGGAACUGAGACACGGUCCAGACUCCUACGGGAGGCAGCAGUAGGGAAUCUUCCGCAAUGGGCGAAAGCCUGACGGAGCAACGCCGCGUGAGUGAUGAAGGUCUUCGGAUCGUAAAACUCUGUUAUUAGGGAAGAACAAAUGUAUAAGUAACUAUGCACGUCUUGACGGUACCUAAUCAGAAAGCCACGGCUAACUACGUG